CUUCCCUCCCCUCUUCUCUAUCAACAAGAUUAAAAAAAGAAAAGAAAUCUCGUUCUCAUCUCUGAUGAUUAGGGUUCAAUCACUCUAGUUUCUAAUAACGUAUGAAGUCUCAAAUCAAUAAUCUCUCCGAGAUUAAGGUCGAACGAUUUGCUGAUUUCAGAGAUCUCAAAUCCCAAAUCAAGCCCUAAUCUCAAAUCUCAAAAAAUUUCAUUCCUUGGAGUUUGAAUCAAUUGAUGAAAUUUUUGGAUUCCCUGUUAAAUCUUGCAUAUCUUAACUGUCUCAAGGAUAAAUACACGGUAAUAAUGGGAUAUUGGGUUUGGAAGGUAAUGUUUUGAAGAUGAAGAGAUGGUGAGAGUUGGUUCUUGUUAGCAUUGAUUUAGUUUGUAGAUUGCAGACAUGGGUUUUGUUUGAUUCAUGGACUACAUGAAGUUGGAAGAUGUUGAUGGCUGGUAUAGAGAUUCUUACAGUAAGGAAGUCUUACUAAGAGCAGUGGUGUAGUUAGACCUCAGUUUGAAUCUAACCUUCUUCCUAAAGUCAUGGUAAUCAAUAUUGAAACUCCCUGAAGAACAACGUGACCCAGAUGAUUAUAAAGCAAGAUGCAGGAGAUAUGUGGGAAUGGUAAAAGAGCUUCUACAAACUCUGCCGUAUAGGAAGAGACCCGUAUGGACAGGGAUGCAAUCGCGGAGGUGGGUGCAUAUGAAUUUCAUAUUGUUAACCUUUUAGUUACUAACCCAUUUUGUUUACAUGUUCAUAGGUGUUUGGGCGUGAUCGUGGGGGAUUCGUCCGGGGUAUGGAACACCCAGCAUCUCUGAUUCCACUUCAGAAUUGCAUCCACGCUUUGGGCUAUUUGCAGCAUGCAAUUAGCCAAUUAUAGGUCCUUCGUGGUGUGGAUGGCGCUGGAUUUUGUAAAGAGGCUUUUGAACAAGGACCAGAGGAAAAGAAUGAUUGUUGCGCAGGCUUUGAGGAAACAUUUUUGACAAACUGGAAGCAUCAUAUAGCUUAAACGCCUUGACAGUAUUCUCCUUCGAGUUCGUAUCAUGUUUCUUUCUGACGAUUCAGAAACACCAAAAGUCAAAUAACAACAUCUUUUACAGAUAGGAUGAACUGAGACGCAUUAGAGAAGAGAUUAUUGUUGCUUGGGGUGAUAAGGAUGAGCUGAGACGCAUCAGAUGUUGCUGCUAUAAACCAAUAGUUAAUUGACAAGCCUUACGCUUGCUGCUUAUGAAGUGACCAAGGUCCAAGACUGAACGAGGAAGUACUUAAUGUUCACCGGUGUAUGUCAUCUUUUUUUUUUGUUGUUGUUACUUGUCAUUCUUUUUCAGAGGUAUACUGAAUAACUCUUUAGUGUAAGAUUUCAUGAAUUUCCGAAGUUCAAUUAUAGUUUUUAGAAUUUAAUGUA
Long non-coding RNA from Papaver somniferum (opium poppy), 1399 nucleotides. RefSeq lists it as uncharacterized. The transcript is spliced from 9 exons. The record is from RefSeq and is a predicted model, not a curated record. NCBI's taxonomy places the organism in Eukaryota, Viridiplantae, Streptophyta, Magnoliopsida, Ranunculales, Papaveraceae.